AUUUCAUUCUCACGUAAAGUAGCAUAAUCCUUUGACAUUCGCUAUGUGGCAGACGGGUAUCACGACUAAGCGGAUGACAAACGGUGUCGGGCAUAAAAUAUGGGAUAUCAUCCCGAGCUAGUUGAAGCCAAAAUCAUGUAAGUAUUAAAAUUGGAAUUUGUUGCUUCAAUUGAUGUCUGAAAUUCUUUACCUCUCUAUCACAACACAUGUAAGGAGCGGUAUAGAUAUGCGAAGCAAUCCGCUAUAAGUGGUUGCAAUGAAGCAAAAGCAAUAAAAUAAUCAACUGAAUGAACCAUUUUCAUCUGAAUAAACAAUAAUAAAAGGAACCCUUUCAAAUCGAGUGUAUGGUAAGAUGUUAAUUAGAUGGAAUAAGCAGCCUCGACACAUUUAAUCGGCGAGAAGAAAACUAGUUUAGCAGUUUACAGUUAUAUAUGAAAUUACUAU
Schizosaccharomyces pombe (fission yeast) is the source of this 444-nucleotide non-coding RNA. Lineage: Eukaryota; Fungi; Ascomycota; Schizosaccharomycetes; Schizosaccharomycetales; Schizosaccharomycetaceae. The record is from the annotation of a GenBank genome assembly.